This 440-nucleotide ribosomal RNA is filed under the name uncultured bacterium. RNAcentral's name for it is "partial 16S ribosomal RNA". It matches the Rfam family "Bacterial small subunit ribosomal RNA", at positions 338 to 795 of the family's 1533-position model. The record is from RNAcentral.
ACUACGGGAGGCAGCAGUGGGGAAUAUUGCACAAUGGGGGAAACCCUGAUGCAGCGACGCCGCGUGAGUGAAGAAGGAAUUCGUUAUGUAAAGCUCUAGAAGCAGGGAAGAAAAUGACGGUAACUGAGUAAGAAGACCCGGCUAACUACGUGCCAGCAGCCGAGGUAAUACGUAGGGGGACAGCGUUAUACGGAUUUACUGGGAGUAAAGGGAGCGUAGACGGCAGUGCAAGUCUGGAGUGAAGGGCGGGGGCUCAACCCCCGGACUGCUCUGGAAACUGUACGGCUGGAGUGCAGGAGAGGUCAGUGGAAUUCCUAGUGUAGCGGUGAUAUGCGUAGAUAUUAGGAGGAACACCAGUGGCGAAGGCGGCUUACUGGACUGUAACUGACGUUGAGGCUCGAAAGCGUGGGGAGCAAACAGGAUUAGAUACCCCAGUAGUC